Non-coding RNA from Taeniopygia guttata (zebra finch), 194 nucleotides. The record is from RefSeq and is a predicted model, not a curated record. Lineage: Eukaryota; Metazoa; Chordata; Aves; Passeriformes; Estrildidae.
CUCAGGUGUAUCUCAGGUGUUACCUGGUGCUCAGGUGAGCGCAGGUGCAGGCAGAGGCUGGGCUGGGUUAGUGGGAUGGGCUCAGGUGUGUCAGGGAUGGGUUCAGGUGUAUCUCAGGUGUAUCUCAGGUGUGCCCAGGUGCCCCCAGGUGUAGCUCACCUGGUGCUCAGGUGAGCGCGGGUGCAGGCAGAGGC